RNAcentral lists this ribosomal RNA (482 nucleotides) under uncultured bacterium. RNAcentral's name for it is "partial 16S ribosomal RNA". It matches the Rfam family "Bacterial small subunit ribosomal RNA", at positions 30 to 507 of the family's 1533-position model. The record is from RNAcentral.
UGAACGCUGGCGGCAUGCUUUACACAUGCAAGUCGAACGGCAGCACGGGCUUCGGCCUGGUGGCGAGUGGCGAACGGGUGAGUAAUAUAUCGGAACGUACCCAGAAGUGGGGGAUAACGUAGCGAAAGUUACGCUAAUACCGCAUACGAUCUAUGGAUGAAAGCAGGGGACCGCAAGGCCUUGUGCUCCUGGAGCGGCCGAUAUCUGAUUAGCUAGUUGGUGAGGUAAAGGCUCACCAAGGCGACGAUCAGUAGCUGGUCUGAGAGGACGACCAGCCACACUGGAACUGAGACACGGUCCAGACUCCUACGGGAGGCAGCAGUGGGGAAUUUUGGACAAUGGGCGCAAGCCUGAUCCAGCAAUGCCGCGUGAGUGAAGAAGGCCUUCGGGUUGUAAAGCUCUUUUGUCAGGGAAGAAACGGUAGAGGCUAAUAUCCUUUGCUAAUGACGGUACCUGAAGAAUAAGCACCGGCUAACUACGUG